Molecule: RNA transcript, 1597 nt
Organism: Camponotus floridanus (Florida carpenter ant)
Lineage: Eukaryota; Metazoa; Arthropoda; Insecta; Hymenoptera; Formicidae
Gene name: odorant receptor 4-like
Exons: 7
Source: RefSeq, a predicted model, not a curated record
CAUUCGUUUGCUGACCUCAGUCUUCACGCAAAUAUUACGUGAUAUUACGCCGAACUGUCAUUCGGCAAAUAUUUAGACGAAAUAAUAUUUCUCUUUUUCUUUCCACGUGUUUGUCUAGUGUAGUUAUAUAUACCUUGGUGUAUACUCUAUACACAAACGCUACAUAUAUACUUAAUGUAUACGUGCGAGAGCGACGAAAAAAUAUAAUAAUAAUAAAUUAUGACGCGUAAAAGCACAAUUAAUCGUAUGACAAAAUUUAUGCUCAUUUUGUUCGGUAUCUGGCCAGAUGUAUCGUACGUUAUAUUCUCCAGAAUAUUUUGGACCGUCACAAUAGCAAUCGUUCUAUUUUGCCAUUAUCCAUAUUUGUUGGCACAUCUCCAUUCUGACGAUGUGUUCGAUUUGAUGGACUGUUUCAGUAACUUCUUAGGAUUUCUUAAAUUAAUGAUCAAGAUCAUUUUCUUUUGGUUGAAUCAGCGAAUAUUCCACGAAAUUUUGACGAUGAUGGCGGAAGAUUGGAACGAUUGCACUAAAAAUGAUAUCGAGAUGCAUGAGGCAAUAAAUAAAGCAAAGACAUCGAAUCGUAUUACCAACGUGAUCAUGAUUAUUCAUACAGUUGCUGUACUGUUAUAUGGUGACCUUAUUCUGGCCAAAGUCGAUGUUACCGAUCGUACGAUCAAUCUACCCCACAUUUAUAAAAUAGAAGUUCCUUUCAGCAUAAACACGCAACGCACGUAUAAAGUCGUAUUAAUCGUAGAAUUAAUACAUCUCCUUGUGUGUAGUUGGGGCAUGGGUACAUUAAAUGCUUUAUUGCUAACCUUGAUCUUACACGUAGGUGGCCAAAUAAAUAUUCUGCGUUAUUGGUUAACGGAAUUGAUAUCUAAAGAGAAUAAAUCUAUCGCCAUCAUGAUGAAGAGAAUUAUUCGGAAACAUCAGAAAAUCAUUUACUUCACGAAAAACAUUGAAAGUCUAUAUACAUUCAUUGCGUUCAUACAAUUUGUAUCAAACACGAUGAUGAUUUGCUUAAUAGGAUUUUUAAUUAUAACAGCACUCGGUGACCCUAACGCGACAAAAAAGAUAGUGAAAGCCAUUUCAUACUACAGCGUGACAAAUAUGGAAGCAUUCAUAUUUUGCUAUGCUGGAGAAUAUUUAAUUAAUAAGAGCAAAGCGAUAGGAUUAGCUGCAUAUAAUAUUUCAUGGUACGAAUUGGAGCCUGAAUACAAUCGUAUUCUUUUAUUCAUAAUAUUAAGAGCACAAAAACAAUUGACACUUACAGUUGGGAAAAUGACAGAUCUCUCGUUACAAUGCUUCGCAAGCAUUAUGAAUUCUGCAGGAUCAUAUUUGUCGGUGCUAUUGGCGAUGCAAUAAAUACCACAUCCAUCUUGCCAAUUUUGAAGAAUUUAUAUGCUUUAUAUAAAUUCAAUAUAUAAAUUAUUAGAAAUAAUUAGAAAUAGUGCAUAUACAUAGUACCACAGCAUACCUCGAAUAUAUACUUCAAGAAAGUACAUGGACUCUUGAAAAGAUUACUUUGUUUUUCUUCAAAUCAUUGCGCAUGAUUUUCGAUGAACUAUAAGUUGCUAUUCCAUUGUGUGUCAUUAAA